Anolis carolinensis (green anole) is the source of this 5416-nucleotide RNA transcript. It is a transcript of the gene named double PHD fingers 3, with no coding region annotated. Lineage: Eukaryota; Metazoa; Chordata; Lepidosauria; Squamata; Anolidae. The record is from RefSeq and is a predicted model, not a curated record. The transcript is spliced from 10 exons.
UCUCCCCAUUGGGCGCCCGCUUCCCCUGAGCGAACCUUUUAGAACUCCGAGGCACAAUAUUCUGUUACAUUGUAGCAAAAUGGCGACUGUCAUUCACAACCCCCUGAAAGCUCUUGGGGACCAGUUCUACAAAGAAGCCAUAGAGCACUGUCGCAGCUACAACUCCCGGCUCUGUGCUGAACGCAGUGUCCGUCUACCUUUCCUUGACUCGCAGACUGGUGUAGCUCAGAAUAACUGUUACAUUUGGAUGGAAAAGAGACAUCGGGGACCAGGACUUGCACCAGGUCAACUCUAUACGUAUCCUGCCCGUUGCUGGCGCAAGAAGAGACGUUUGCAUCCUCCUGAGGAUUCCAGGCUGAAGUUGCUGGAGAUCAAACCUGAAGUUGACCUGCCCCUGAAGAAGGAUGGCUUCACAUCCGAGGGGACCACACUGGAAGCUUUGCUGCGUGGAGAAGGGCUUGAAAAGAAGAUAGAUACUAAAGAGGAGGACACUCUACAAGAAAUCCAGAGGGUUCUGGAAAAUGAUGAAAAUGCUGAUGAAGUAAAUGAGGAGGAAGAGAUGGAAGAAGAUAUCCCAAAACGAAAGAACAGACCCAGAGGACGGGCCAGAGGCUCUGGAGGUGGUAGGCGAAGGAAUGAUGUUUCUUCCAUGGAUGACCACGAUAAACCCUAUGUUUGUGACAUCUGUGGCAAACGCUAUAAGAACAGGCCUGGAUUGAGCUACCAUUAUGCUCACACUCACCUUGCGAGUGAAGAAGGGGAUGACGCUCAGGAGCAGGACACACGUUCCUCACCUGUCCACAGAAAUGAAAAUCACAAACCAGCCCAGAAAGGACCAGAUGGGGCCAUCAUUUCCAAUAACUACUGUGACUUCUGUCUUGGUGGAUCCAAUAUGAACAAAAAAAGUGGACGGCCAGAGGAACUUGUUUCGUGUUCAGAUUGUGGGCGCUCUGCUCAUUUGGGAAGAGAAAGCAGGAAAGAAGAAGCAGCGGCAGCUCACACUACGGAGGACUUAUUCGGUUCCACCUCUGAAAGCGACACCUCAACUUUUCAUGGCUUUGAUGAGGAUGACACAGAAGAGCCUGUUUCAAACCAGAGCAGCAGCUCCCUUCCUGCAAAGAAAAAGGGCAGCUGCUAAAAUGGCUCAUCACACACAAGCUCUAAGAGUGACUUCCUGCCCCUUUUGCUACUUUUACUCUUAUUGUUGCUAUUGCAUUUUAAAAAAAAAUUAGACCUAUUUUUACCUUUGAGUGUGUACAAUGAAAGCACAACCAUCUAAUAAUGUAGAAAACCUCUUUUUGGUAAAAAAAAAUUGGCUACUUUGUUUUCAUAAUUCUCCCUCCUUUUUUCUCUUUGCAAACCUGAAAUGUGGGUGUCCUUUUUUUUAAAGGUAAAUAACUUAAUAAAUAGAAGAGAGCUAAUUUGUUCAACUUUUAAUAUAUAUAUAUAUAUUAGCCCAAUAUCAAAAAUGAAAAUUCAGAAGAGUUGGACACCAGGACCCCACCUCAAAUUGUGUUUUAAAGUAUUUAUUUAUAUAUUAUAUAUAUUAAUAGAUAAAAGACUUUUAAAAUUACGAAAAAGCAAUGAUAUCUACUUGAUAAUCUAAUUGUACAGAAAGUGCUGUAUGUACAGCUAUGAUAUGGAUUAUGAAACAGCUAUUGAAUGGAUUAUUCCAGAUCAAAAGGAAACUGAAACACUUGCCAGUGUGACUUUGGCACUGUGAAAAGUUUGCACACUGGAUUUUGUGACUUCCCCCUCUGUACUUUUGGUAUCUUCACCUUUAACCGUUUAGGGAAGAAAGGCAAGGAAAAUCCAGAAAGAUGGUAAAAGAAAAAAUUCCUGCCUCCUUUCUUGGGACACAUUUGUACUCUUUCAAGAAUUCCUCAUGUUUCUCACCUUGGCAUCUUUUUAACAGACACUGCCUCAUUUUUCUUUGCCACCUUCUUCACCUUCUACAAUGUGGAAAAUAAUUUCCCCGAGCAAAUGGAUGGAAUAUACCAUUAAGUCACAGAUUCUGCAAAGAUCAAACAAAGGAUGUGAAUCUUGAAAGAAAUUAAAAGGAAAAAAUACCUCAUGUUUCUUUUGUUUUACGUUUUAAAAAUAAAUCAGAAACCCAUUUAGUCUUAUUUUUGAUAGCUCCUCUUGAAAUAUACCAAAGCAAUACUCACUAAUCUUCAAAGGGGAGCAGAGAAGACAGAAUCUCUCUCUCUCAUUUGCUAUUCCAGCAACAUGGAGUUGAGCAGCAGGAUUAUAAGAUGAUGAUCCUGUGCUCACUUGAAUUCUGAAUCCAUCAGGAAAACUAUGGAAGAAGCCAAGUAAGAUUUGCCAGGAUGCUUUGAUCUCCUCUCCUUGCCUGAUCCUUUCUCAACCUGUGUCUCCUCCCACACAGGAGCCUGGACUGGGGAAUGCCUGCUGGCACUUGCUCAGAGAAGUCUUGGGGUUUCCCUAGGCUUGUGCAAUACAAAGAGAAUCCUUACAUUUUUAAAAACAAACUAUCUUUUUCUUCAAGUGUUGUGUGAGCUAGUGUGUACGUUUGUAUAUAUAAGACCAGAUCAAACUGGAACUGAUUGACAAUAGUAAUGACUAAAAAUGACAAAGAAAUUCCAGAAAAUCUCAACAAAAAUAGAACAGGUUAUUUUAUUUAUUUCAGUAUUUAAAAGAGAAAUGUAGGGCUGAUGUUGCACAGUUAUUUUUGUUUAAAAAUCAUUUUGCUUUUUUGUGAAGAAGGGACUUUUUAAACAGUGUUUAAUGUAAGAUAUAGGCUAUUUGCUUUCAGGAGAAGGCUUUUUUUAAUUUAUGAAAAUAAAGAUUAAACUGCUCUCUCUUACUUUAAAGAUGCCAUUCGUACACAUGCUGGGUGUUUUUAUUUUUUCAAAGUGGAUAUGGUAAGUUCAAAGUUGCUCUGGCUCAUUUUCCUGAAUGUCUGCUAAUGUUUUGUGUGUGAAUGUAUUAGAAUAAGCAAAACAAAAUUUUAAACAAACAAACAAAUUUUUCUGAAGAAUCAUGCUAGAUUCUGGAUGGUUAUUUGUCACAAGAGUUUAAAGUGUGUUCUGCCAGGAGUAUAAAGUAAGAGGAAGCUUAGGCAUUGCCAUUUCUUAGCAAUAACACCACUGAAGCCUGAUACUUUUUAAAAGGAAAAAUAUUCUGUUGCCUGCAAAGUUACCUUAUUGAGUGAAUAAUUCAUGCCAACACCUGCUUGCAAAUAAAGAUAACUAAUACAAGAAAUCCAGAGUUGGGUAACUAGGACAAUAUGUUUGGCAAUAAACUUGCAUUCCCAAAAUUCUUGGAGGAGGCAUUUGAAAUACUCUUUUGGAGCAGCUAGCAACAUUAAAAAUUAACCGCCAUUUUCCAGAAGUAGUAGAAUUCAUCCAAUGGGAGCUAGUCAUAUUUAGUUUCUCUAUUGUAAUUUCUUGAGUUCUACAUGCAACAAUGUGACAACUGGUGCUUUUCAGAUGACUUUUAAAAUGUUCCCUUGGUAGUGUGCAGAGGGAAGAGUUGUGCUAGAACAAUGUAUCCUAAUACAUUUUGGAGAAUGAUGUAUGAGCAAGAUGCCAGAUUCAAUGGAUAUAGAUGUAUUCCUAUGGAAAGUUAUUUGGAUAACUCAUUCUGUUUUAACUUUUCCAGGAAUUUAUGUUCACCAGAUUGUGUCAGUCCUUUGUGUGAAGGGGACUGCCAUGACUUGGAAAUGUACCAUUCAGUAUGAUUCUGUGCAUAUUAAUUUAAUCAGAAGUAAUUUUCAGGAAGUUAAUAAGACCUACUUCCUAGUAAGUAUGCAUAUGAGUGCUUAGUCUAAUAGUAGAUUAAAAGUAAUACAAGAUCAUUUUUUAAGAAUUUAUAACUGAAAGUUUCUCUCUUGAAAUUCAGUGAGCAAUACACAACUCUGUUGAUAGAUAAUACUAUAACUACAGCUCCCAUAAUCUGCAGUCAGUAAGAUUGCUGACUGUGGGAUUCUGGGAGUCAUAAUUUCUGUUUCUAGUGGGAAGUCUCAGACCAGUAGGCACACAGAGAAGCCUAGAGCAGAUCAAGAAUGUCCUGGAAGUUGAGUCAUGGUCAACAACACAGGAUGCCGCCAAACAAAGUAGGGCCCCUUCUACACUGUCCUAUAUCCCAGGAUCUGAUCCCAAAUUAUCUUCUUAUCCCAGAUUAUAUGGCAGUGGAGACUCAUAGCAGAUAACCUGGGAUCAGAUCCUGGGAUAUAAGGACAGUGUAAAAGGGGCCUAGGUAAGGCAGAUGAAAGUGGUUGAAGAAACAGAGCUGAUUCAUAACAGGUCAAGUUUUGCAAGGUUGUCAAUCAAAUACAGCAGGCUUUGAGAGAAGUUUCAGUGUUCAGUCAAGGUCAGAUACCAGGAUAGCCAAUAGAGAGGAAUUUCUAGAUAGCAAGCUGUCAAGAAAAUUCUAGGUCAUGUGUAGUCUUCAUCAGUCUUUCUACCAUAAAUAGCAAUUCUUGCACAGAUGCUGCCAGGUUCUGUAGCUGAUCAAGAGGCUGAUAGCAGAUAUCCUCAACAGAAGCAACCUCUCUACUGCAGUCUUAUACUUCUGUUUACAGGCUGACAUUCCCUGUGAGUUAGAAGUUGCUCUGCCUCAUGCUCUAAUGCAGAAAUCCCCUCAUCUGGUGAGGUCGAACCCUUAGCUAUUUUUUAUAGUCCUGGAUGCUUUCUUAGUCUCUUGGCAUUUCAGAGUUGGGUUGUCAGCUGGGGACUCUGGUUCUUCAUAUGAUGAAGAAUCUCUAAGUUGGGGUAUGACAUGUAGUAGGUUGUGCAACACAGUCAGAGUGCAUUUCCACCCAGCUUGCAAGCCUGGAAACUUGACAUCACCUUGAAAUAUAUUACAGUGGCAUAGACGCAGCCCUGCAAAUUCUGAAUCUAGUUGCUGUCUCAGGGAUGGUGGGUAUUAGAACACUGCUCAGGCCAGAAAGGAUCCAUAUUAUGUGAAAUGCAUUAAAUGAAAUCUGCAUUGUGUAAUCAAAUUAAUCUGAAGAGCUAAAACCACAGUACAUUACAUUGCCCUGGUGCAUAGCUAAAAUCAGUGGUGGGUAGCAUCAGAGGUAGCCCCUCCACCCUCACCUACCCAUGUCAUCAAUUGGGGAUGCUUCAUAACUAUAGAAAGCUACUUCAGUAAAUAUCAGGUGGAAUCUGCUGGCUACAAUUACACUAACAUUUUUUUUAAAAAAAGAUUUCAAUUAGCCAAAAAGAAGGAACAUCCAUAUUGAACUUCAGCAAAUUGUACUCAUUUGUAUUUUGUGUCCAUAUACAAUCUACUUCUAAGGCAUCUCCUGUUUACUUCUCUGUAAAUAUUUCUUUAUCCAAGUUUUUUUAAAAAGAAAAAUUUGUAAAACUGCAAUUGCUGUACAUAGUUUUUAAAGUCCUCAUUGUUUACAAUGCUGUUCUCCAUGCUGAAAAUAAAACUUCCUUCUCUA